CCUACGGGAGGCAGCAGUCGAGAAUUUUCGGCAAUGGGCGCAAGCCUGACCGAGCGACGCCGCGUGGAGGAUGAAGGCCUUCGGGUUGUAAGCUCCUGUCGAGGGGAAAGAAGGCCCGCAAGGGCUUGACUGAUCCCUGGAGGAAGCACGGGCUAAGUUCGUGCCAGCAGCCGCGGUAAU
This 180-nucleotide ribosomal RNA is filed under the name uncultured planctomycete GT43. RNAcentral's name for it is "partial 16S ribosomal RNA". It matches the Rfam family "Bacterial small subunit ribosomal RNA", at positions 338 to 524 of the family's 1533-position model. Lineage: Bacteria; Pseudomonadati; Planctomycetota; Planctomycetia; Planctomycetales. The record is from RNAcentral.